GAGAACUUACUCCCAGUAGCCCCAAUACCAAAUCCUAACAAUCAGCUCGUACUCGAAGGCCCAAUGCCUAUGUGGGUCGGAAGCCUGGAUAGGUGGAGUUGAUGGGUUUUGGCUAUAUGAACAUUCCUAUGUGCACAUGCAAACCCUAAUGCUUGGAUCUAGGUUUCUCUAAUUAAACAUGCAUUGGAUCCAAGACUUCUAAUAUCUAAUAGAGUAUAAGAACAAUACAAAAUCAAAGUUAGAAGUAUACCUUGAAACACUUGUUUGAUCUUCUUGUUCUUGGAGCUUUAGAGUCACAAAUGUCACUCCUCUAAUGGCUUACAAACACCAACUAACAAUAGGAUGAUUUGAGAGAGAGGAGAGGGAAUAGAAAUCGUCCAGGGUUUCUUUUCUUUUGCAGAGGUGCCGAUUUCCCUUGCCCAAAGGGUCUAUUUAUACUUGUAAGGCUCCUAGGGUUUCACCCUUAAACCCUAGUUGGAUAAUCUUUACUCAAAGCAAUCCAAAUCCUUUCCAAGAUAAGCCCUUGGACGAUUUGUGGUUUAUCCCAAGCCCUAGAAAUCGUCCAACCCUAUCCAAGAAGGAUUUACAGCCCAAAGUGUAACUAUCAAACAAUUGACAGUUUAUACCCUCUUAUUUAAUUAAUCUCUUUAAGUCACCAAAUUAAUUCUAAUUAAUUUAUGACUUAUAUUAAUCAAAUAACAAUAUUAUUAUUCCUUAUAUUAUUCUCAUAAUAUAUUAAUAAUAUUUAUUCUCUCAUUAUAAAUCAUCCUGUCAAGUUGCUAUGGUGAAGGCAACCCAAAAGGACCAUGCACAAUCGGGUCAAAUACUUGCCUAAUAUAGUUGCAGCCUUAGACACUAUUCCAACAGUCUCCCACUUGGAUAAGUCUAGUAACUAUAUGCACAAGUACAAUUCGAUUUGCAAUCGUAGCUCUCAAAGACGCUGUCAAACUCUGAUCUAAUCAAUCUUGUCCUUUAGAUAAGGGAUCGUACAGUCCUCUGUUAGAUAUCAUGCUGACAAUUCUAUGGAAUAAUUAGUCUAGCAUUUUGGUUUCUCGAUCUCCGAUUCAUUUGACAUAGAACUUAAUCGAACACAUCAAUUCAGUUCUGACCGGGCCCGGCACAUAAGUCAAAUCAAAUCAUCGAGCGGCCGAGAUAUCGCUUUUACCCUCUUGGGAUAAAAGUAACAGAUAAACUUCGACUUAUAUGCAUUUACUUAUUCAUUAAUCAACUAUACACAACAAUGCGUUUUAUAACACCGAGUUACUGAUGCGUUUUCGCAUUAUCAAUGUACAACCAAUUAACAAAUAACAAACCAUAUAUCUAGGUUUUAAGACUAUAUGAUAUUAUCGUCUUGCGAUCACCCUUUUAUAUCAUAUUCCAUAAGGUGAUUCCAGCAAGCGCGGGUUUGUUCCAAUGCUCAAAACUAGUUCAUAAGCACUCAUGAACGUUGCAGCAACCCUUUGCUAUGUCUAAUACCAUUUAGACAAUCUACACACCAAUUCAUGACAAUCUUCAUUCAUAUCUACUUCCAACAUAUGAACGAUUGUGGACAAUUUGAAUAAUUCGAUUAUUCUUAAUAAACUCAAUUAUUCUGGAAGUCAAAACAUGCAAAAUGAAACAAUAGUUAAACAAUUAACAUAAGACAGUAACAUUACUCAUAAAUAAAACUCCUUUAUUUAAUCAUCAAAUGUUAAUUACAUUUAUCUAUUACACGUUUCUAAUACUAUCUAAUCUAUGCUAAUAUCAUCCUUCAGCCCAAUACUCCUAGCAUGCUGCAAGUGCUUAACCCUACUCAGUCCCUUCGUAAGCGGAUCUGCUGGGUUAUCUUCUGAUGAUAUCCUCUUCACUACGAGUUGUCCUUCUUCUACACGAUGUCUAAUGAAGUGAUAUUUUCUGUCGAUAUGUCUUGAUCUACCAUGAUCCCUCGGUUCCUUGGUCAAGGCAACCGCUCCUUCGUUAUCACAGAAAAUCUCCAUGGGCUCCUUUAUGGCAGGUACAACUCCAAGAUCACCGAUGAAGUUCUUCAGCCAUAUUGCCUCCUUCGACGCUUCGCUCGCUGCAAUGUACUCUGAUUCGCACGUUGAAUCAGCUACGGUUUCCUGCUUGGAACUCUUCCAUGUCACUGCUCCUCCAUUUAGGGUAAAGACCCAGCCCGACUGCGAACGGUAGUUGUCCCUGUCGGUCUGAAAACUGGCGUCACUAUACCCUCGCACCUUCAAGUCAUCACUCCCUCCGAGGACUAAGAACCAUUCCUUCGUCCUCCGAAGGUACUUAAGGAUAUUCUUCACCGCAAUCCAAUGUGCUCUGCCAGGAUUCCCUUGAUAUCUGCUAACCAUGCUCAAAGCGAAGGCUACAUCAGGGCGAGUACAAGUCAUAGCGUACAUGAUUGAGCCAACUGCGGAAGCGUAUGGUACUCGGCUCAUUUCUGCUAUCUCAGCUUCGGUACUCGGACUUUGAGUCUUACUCAACUUGGCAUUACUUUGUAUCGGUAAUUCUCCCUUCUUUGAGUUUUCCAUACUAAAACGUUUUAGUACCUUCUCUAAGUAAGUAUUCUGACUAAGUCCAAUUAGUCUCUUACUUCUUUCUCUUACUAUCCUUAUUCCCAAAAUGUAAGAAGCCUCUCCGAGGUCCUUCAUAGCGAAGCACUUCCCGAGCCAGGACUUAACCUCCUGCAGAGUCGGGAUGUCGUUUCCUAUGAGUAAUAUGUCAUCGACAUAUAGAACGAGGAAGCUUACUAUACUCCCACUGGCUUUGACAUAUACACAAGAUUCGUCUUCGCUUCGUACAAAUCCAAACUCUUUGACUUUCUCAUCGAAGCAAAGAUUCCAUCUGCGAGACGCUUGCUUAAGUCCAUAAAUGGACUUCUCAAGCUUACACACUCUAUUCGGAUGCUUCGGAUCCACAAACCCCUCUGGCUGAGCCAUGUAAACAUCCUCAGCCAACUUUCCGUUAAGGAAAGCGGUCUUGACAUCCAUUUGCCAAAUCUCAUAAUCAUGAAAUGCGGCAAUUGCUAGCAUCACUCUAAUAGAUUUAAUCUUCGCAACUGGUGAGAAGGUCUCAUCAUAGUCAACUCCGGGAGUUUGAGUAAAGCCCUUCGCAACCAAUCGCGCUUUAUAUGUGUGUACGUUUCCAUCCACGUCGGUCUUCUUCUUGAAGAUCCAUUUGCACCCAACGGUCUUACGUCCGGGCACAUAAUCAACCAAAUUCCAAACUUGGUUAUCAUACAUGGAUUGGAUCUCGCUAUCCAUUGCCUCUUUCCAUUUUGCAGACUCCGGGCCUGCCAUGGCUUCCUUAUAGCUAUUAGGUUCAUCAAGAUUUAUUAGUGUACCAUCACUAAUAUACGUGUCCCCUUCGGUAGUAAUAUGAAAACCAUAAAACUGGGGUUGAACUCUAACUCUAUCGGAACGUCUAAGAGGUAAGGAUUCGUCAAUCGGUUCAACCGGAGUUUCCUCCUCGGGUUGAAUGCCAGCGGUAGAGGUUCCUUCAUCUAUCGACUCUUGAAUCUCUUCAAGCUCGAUUUGCCUCCCACUGUCUCCUUGGCUUAUGAGUUCUCGCUCUCGGAAAACUCCUCUCCUCGCAACGAAGACAACAUUGUCCUUCGGUCUAUAGAAGAGAUAUCCAAAGGAUGUCUGCGGGUAGCCGAUGAAAAUACAUCGCUCACUUCGAGGUUCAAGCUUGUCGUGAGUAUCUCGUCUUACGAAAGCCUCGCAACCCCAAACCUUGAUAUGUGCCAACAAGCGAGCCUUCCCUAUCCACAUCUUGUGAGGUGUUUUGGCAACCUAUUUAGUAGGGACUCGGUUAAGGAUAUGGGCGGCAGUCUCUAAGGCAUACCCCCAAAAAGAGAUUGAUAGUGAAGCACGACUCAUCAUAGAGCGAACCAUAUCCAAUAAGGUUCGAUUACGCCUUUCUGCCACACCAUUCAACUGCGGUGUCCUAGGAGGCGUCAAUUGCGAAACUAUUCCACACUCCUUGAGAUAAUCGUGGAAUUCAAGACUUAGGUACUCUCCUCCUCGAUCGGAUCGAAGCAUCUUGAUUUUCCUGCCCAAUUGAUUCUCCACUUCAUUCUUGAACUCUUUGAACUUUUCAAAGGUGUCUGACUUUUGCUUGAUUAAGUAGAUAUACCCAUAUCUACUAUAGUCAUCGGUAAAAGUCACAUAGAAGCGGUUCCCAUCCUUCGUGGUUGAUCUAAACGGUCCACAUACAUCGGUAUGUAUUAGGUCCAAUAGACCCUCGCCCCUUUCACAUGUACUCGUGAAGGGUGACUUAGUCAUCUUUCCAAGCAAACAAGACUCGCAUGUGUCAUCUUCCCUAAGGUCGAAUGACUCCAACACUCCAUCCUUUUGGAGUUGGGCUAUGCGUUUCUUGUUGACAUGUCCAAGACGACAAUGCCACAAGGAUGCUUUAUCCAUACUAGUGGAAGAAUCAAUAUUCAAAACAUCAUUUCCUAAGUUAUCAACAAUCAUAACGGUUUCAUAUAUUCCAUUACAUGGUAUAGCUUCAAAGUAAAAGACACCAUUUAGAUAAGCCAAAAUAGAACCAUUCUCAUUAUUAAAAGAAAAUCUAAAUCCUUGUCUAUAUAAACCAUGAAAUGAAAUGAUGUUUCUUGCCAUUUCUGGCGAAUAGCAACAAUUGUUCAAAUCUAAAACUAAACUAUUCCUAAGCACUAAGGAAUACACUCCAAUCUUGGUCACAGGCGACGAUCUUCUGUUCCCCAUGAUUAGAUUGAUCCUUCCUUGCUCCACAUCCCUACUUCUUCUUAGUCCCUGCACAUUAGAACAAAUGUGAUAACCACAACCGGUAUCAAGAACCCAAGAAAUAGCAUGAUUAGAAUCGUUAGAUUUGAUUGUAUAUAUACCUGCGAAAGAUGGCUUGAUCUUUCCUUCUUUGAUUGCUUGCAGGUAAUCCGGGCAGCUUCUCUUCCAAUGUCCUAUCUUGUGGCAGUGGUGGCACUCUGCCUCCUUCGGGUUAGAGCAGGGCUUGGCGGGAUCAACUUUGGUCCCACUAGAAGAGGCACCAUCUCGGGCUUUCACCUUGCGAUAGUUCUUCGAUGAAGCUUUCCUCUUCUUUCCCUUCCCUUGUCCAAUAGCCAAGACAGGAGCAGCGGGCGGAUUGGGAGUAGGUGCAACAGACUUGUCUUUGAAGUUGCUCUCAGCAACCCUCAAGAGACCUUGGAGCUUGCUUAGGGUGACCUCUUCUUUGUUCAUGUGGUAGGUCAUCCUAAAUUGGUUGUACAUCGGAGGCAAAGAGUGAAGCACCAUGUCGAUCGCCAAGUCUUCACCGAAGUCAACAUUUAACUUGCGGAGGCGGUCAACAUACCUUUGCAUCUUUUGCAAGUGCACGGUAAGAGAUUCUCCAUGACCCAUCUUCGCGGAAAUCAUGUUAGUGAAAAUCUCGUACCUCUCUUGUCUCGCGUUUUGGUGGUACCUCUCCAAUAAGUCUUGAUGCAUCUCGUACGGGUACAUGUCCUCGUAGGACUUUUGGAAUUCGGAGUUCAUGGUGGCGAUCAUGAUGCAAUGUACCUUCGUUGCAUCUCGCUCAUGAGUUUCAAAGGCGGUGAUUUCGGCGGGAGUAGCAAUUUCGGGGUUGAUUUUCUCGAGCUUCUCAUCGAGGACAUACUCCUUAUCCUCAUAGCGAGCAAUGGUGCGAAUGUAUCUUAUCCAUUCGCUAAAGUUCGUUCCAUCGAAGGUGACCUUUUGGCAAAGGCUCAUCAACGUGAAAGAACUAGCAGCAGCGUUGUUUGCGUUCGACAUCUACAAUUAGAAAAGGACAAAGAUAGAUUAGAAUAAGAAUCCCUAAUUAUCACCCAAUAAGAAAAUUAGGGCUAGGAUCCAACAAUAACAUUUACAUACUAGAAAAGGGAUGCCGUAAUCUAACAUGCAAAUAAAUUGAAGGUAAGUGAAUGACGAUUCACUAAUUCUCCAUCACAAAACUUAAACUAUUAGUCCUAAGUGUUUUUGAGAAUUCCUAGGUUCGGAUGAGAUUCAUUGAAACUAUUCAAUGGCAUGUUUAAAUCUCGAUAUGCCCCUCUUGUUUGUGACUGGGAUACCGAGGAUCACAAAGCGGGUGUGAAUUACCAUGCAAAUUCACAUGGUGCCUUCAUUGUAACGAUCACCUAUUCGAUGUGCCGGUAAACCACACACGCUCCAUCGAACUAUGAUAAACAAUGAAUCACCCUUUGCCACCUUUGCUUAGAACCAAUUAGUGUGCCGGUAAACCACAGACAUUCCACUAACUUCUUAGCAAGGGUGCAAAGUGUAACUUCAUGGGAUUGCAUCAAUUCACUUUUCCCAAAGUAACGAAGAUUGGGAAAUUUUUGAAAAACCAUGUAGUUACUUUGUAUUUCAUAUUAUACUUUUAAUGAGAGGAUGAGGUUGCCCUAUCCUACCCGUUCGGCUAACGACCCUCCACCGAUCAAUCAAGCGGUGGGUGUGAGUGUACACCCAUUAAGCGCCAUUUUAUAGGCCGCAACCUUAUACCCACCUUAUAGAUCGGCUUCGUGAAUGAGGCCUACUAACGGUAAGACUAGCAUUUUAGUUAUACAUAUAUAUACAUAUUAAUCUUGUAAUAUUAUAUUAGUAUAGGGUUGGAUUUUAAACUUGUAAAAUUCUAGGGUUUGAAAUUUAAAUUGUCUAAAUUAAACUUUUAAUCACAAAACAUAAAUUUCAAAACUUGAGGGCAAGUUUUAAACAUUUAAAACAUGGAGGAUCAAAUAACAAAUAAUCUUAAUUAACAAUUAAUUCCAUAAUUAUCCAUAUUUGAUUUAUUUAAUGAUUUCUUGCAAAAUAAUUUACCAAUUUAAUCAAAAUAAUUAAUUAAUUAUCACAUAAGGAAAUUAAAUAUUUUAUUAAUUGAUAAAUAUCUUUAAUUAGAUCAAGAUUAUAGUCAUAUAUAUCAAAAAAUCGGAUUAGGGUUGAUCUAAUAUGAUAAAGGCAAGUUUCCAUAAGAUAAAUAUCAAAAAAUCCCGAUUUUGGCUCUUCCUGACGCUCGGACUCGCCGAGUGCCCAACUGGACUCGCCGAGUCAGGCCAACUCGCCGAGUCCACCAUGGGACUCGCCGAGUCCAUGACUCAGAAACACAAAAUUCAAAUUUUGCAAGCAAGAAACAAACAAUCAUGCAUCAAUUUAAUAGAAACCAAUCUAGGCUCUGAUACCACUGAUGGGUUUUGGCCAUAUGAACAUUCCUAUGUGCACAUGCAAACCCUAAUGCUUGGAUCUAGGUUUCUCUAAUUAAACAUGCAUUGGAUCCAAGACUUCUAAUAGCUAAUAGAGUAUAAGAACAAUACAAAAUCAGAGUUAGAAGCUUACCUUGAAACACUUGUUUGAUCUUCUUGUUCUUGGAGCUUUAGAGUCACAAAUGUCACUCCUCUAAUGGCUUACAAACACCAACUAACAAGAGGAUCAUUUGAGAGAGAGGAGAGGGAAUAGAAAUCGGCCAGGGUUUCUUUGCUUUUGCAGAGGUGCCGAUUUCCCUUUCCCCAAGGGUCUAUUUAUACUUGUAAGGCUCCUAGGGUUUCACCCUUAAACCCUAG
RNAcentral lists this long non-coding RNA (7528 nucleotides) under Lactuca sativa (garden lettuce). RNAcentral's name for it is "long non-coding RNA (LSAT_LNC009540)". The record is from RNAcentral. Lineage: Eukaryota; Viridiplantae; Streptophyta; Magnoliopsida; Asterales; Asteraceae.